UGUAGGAGCCGGCUUGCUGGCGAUGGCGUCCGUCGAGUCGGUCAACCGGUUGGCUGACCCACCGCUAUCGCCAGCAAGCCGGCUCCUACA
RNAcentral lists this unclassified non-coding RNA (90 nucleotides) under Pseudomonas migulae. Lineage: Bacteria; Pseudomonadati; Pseudomonadota; Gammaproteobacteria; Pseudomonadales; Pseudomonadaceae. The record is from RNAcentral.